GGGACGUAGCUUAACUGGUAGAGCAUCUGUUUUGCACACAUAAGGUUUAUCAGUUCGACCCUGUUCGUCUC
Molecule: transfer RNA, 71 nt
Filed under: uncultured eukaryote
Lineage: Eukaryota
Rfam family: tRNA
About the family: Transfer RNA (tRNA) molecules are approximately 80 nucleotides in length. Their secondary structure includes four short double-helical elements and three loops (D, anti-codon, and T loops).
Source: RNAcentral